GUUAUUACCUGGCAGGGAGAAUACAUGAUCACGAAGGUGUUUUCCCAGGGCGAGGCUUAUCCAUUGCACUCGCGAUGUGGCUGACCCUGCGAUUUCCCCAAAUGUGGGAAUCGACUGCAUAAUGUGGUAGUGGGGGGACUGCGUUCGCGCUUUCCCUGA
Molecule: small nuclear RNA, 159 nt
Filed under: Pan troglodytes (chimpanzee)
Lineage: Eukaryota; Metazoa; Chordata; Mammalia; Primates; Hominidae
Description: U1 spliceosomal RNA (ENSPTRG00000043392.1)
Rfam family: U1 spliceosomal RNA
About the family: U1 is a small nuclear RNA (snRNA) component of the spliceosome (involved in pre-mRNA splicing). Its 5' end forms complementary base pairs with the 5' splice junction, thus defining the 5' donor site of an intron.
Source: Rfam by way of RNAcentral